AUUAGGGUGGCAGAGCCAGGUACAUGCAAAAGACCUAAGAUCUUUACAUCAGGUGUUCAAAUCAUCUUCCUAAUA
Molecule: transfer RNA, 75 nt
Filed under: Trachylepis perrotetii
Lineage: Eukaryota; Metazoa; Chordata; Lepidosauria; Squamata; Scincidae
Description: tRNA-Leu
Source: RNAcentral